Long non-coding RNA from Spinacia oleracea (spinach), 9010 nucleotides. RefSeq lists it as uncharacterized. NCBI's taxonomy places the organism in Eukaryota, Viridiplantae, Streptophyta, Magnoliopsida, Caryophyllales, Amaranthaceae. The transcript is spliced from 2 exons. The record is from RefSeq and is a predicted model, not a curated record.
UUAUAUAUUAUGCCUUUCAGGAUGCUUAUAAUUCCAACUAAAUGUUAAGUAAAAUAGUACUUUGUAUACCAUUUUCUAAAAUAGCUUGUUGAAUACAUUGGCUUAUAUUCUUCUCUAGUGUGGAUACUUAAAAGGCAUAGUCUUUCACAAAACUCCACCACGUAGCACUUGCCACUAGGCAAUGACAUGGCGACAUGUCAUGCAACGAGCUUGAUUUGUAAUAUCAGUCUGCCUUCUAAGUGAUCUAUCUAACCUUUAUAAUUGCAUGUCCAACUUGCCGCCGCCUACUACUAUUAGUUCCACCUUUUUCACCAAUAAUCCAUGACUUCAUAUGAAACUAACUAUAAUGAAAAGAAAUUGUGUAUUGUACGGGAAGAAAUACUAAUAUCCAUCUAAACUCAGAAGUACUCACAACAAAGAAGGAUUUAGCAGCGAAAAUUGGAAAAUAAUAAUUUCAAGCUGGUUAUGAAUUAUUUUCCCUGAGACCUCACUUUACCAUGCUUUAAAUCUUGCGUUGACUUCUUCCCCGUAGUACCCAGUCCAGAAGAUUGCUAUUGCCAAUCUGUAUUUCCCCUUUUGCUUACGUAGUGGAGCAUUGAUGUGAAUUUGCACUCUGCCAAUUGCCAGCACGUUUGUGUAAUAGACUGGAUAAUCAGAUAGUAAAAGUGAGAAAGCAGUAGACAAUUGGGGGCGGGGGUAGAUUAUUGGUUGUAUUAGUGCUGCGAUACAAUCGUAUACUAUUCGUCAUACAAUCCCAGGCUAUACUCCACUAUAAACUAAAAACAAAACAAUAUAAAACUCUCAUCAUUUUCAUCAAGCUUUCUCUUUCCCUAAACUCCUCUAUUUGUUAACUAACUCCUCCUUGAAUGUUAGUCCUCUUUCCGUAUUAAUUUGUUUUUAUUUGUUAGUCCCUUUUGAAAUCUUUCCUUAUUUGUCCAAUAUUUAUCCUCAUUAUACCAUUGUAAAUAUCCAAAUGACCCACUUGCUUACUCCCAAGUAAACCUUUAUCUCCAUUAUACCCUUUUAUUAUUUAUCUCUCCUAACCACAUGAGUUAGCUUCUAUUGAGAUUCACGUGACAUGUGUACUUAAGUUGAAUUGUCCUAGAAUCCAAAAUGGACUAAUAUUCAAGAACGGAGGGAGUAUAGUAUUAUUUUUUCCAGCUUCAUGCCCUAUCGUUCUGGUAGCUUCACUCUUGGUUGUGUAUGACGUGCAAUGAGUAUAGAUUUGUAUAGAGAUUUCUAGAAGCCUCCUUUUAUUUACUUGUUCCUUUGGAAGUGAUAACUUUCUAGAAUCUUAGAAAACACUCAUUUAGAGGAAAAAUUCUAUAGGGAUUUAGGAUAUAAAUAGGAUCCUCUCAUUUGUACAUAGCGUCCAAACACUGGUAAAACUCUCUCAAGCAAUACAAAAUAUUCUUUAAAAGCGUACUUAUUUUGUGAUUUCACACUUAGUUUUCGUUGCAUCAGUUAAGCCUAGCCGCACUUUGUUAGUGCUAAUCAACGAAAUUGGGCUAAGUUGAUGUAUGUUGCCCAAUUCUCCCUCAACUUGCUCAUAGGUCCAGUGGUCCCAACUGUGGGAAAAACGAAAUGGAGAACCAAAUAGGGGAGAAACAAAAGAAAAGAUGGUUCGGGGAAAUGUUAUUCUAUAAAAAUGUUAAUUAGAAACAUGUUUAGGGAUUUUAUUUCUGUAGAAAAAUUGUUGGUGGAUUGGACAAAGGAACGAGUGUUUGUAAUGAACCAACCUGAUGUGGGCCGUUUUCCAUUGGUUUACAGCAGAAGACAAAAAGGGACACACAAAGCAACACAAGUCAGAAACUAGGCAAGGCAUCAAGGGGGCGUUUCCACUACUGCUAGCAGAAAAGGACAACAACAACUCAUUAAAUCAAGUGUACUAUGCGAUAGGCUUUAGUGCAUAAAUGGUAGAGCAAGAGAGAGAAAGCUAUUGUGUUUUGUAUUAACUAAAGAGAUUUGUGGCCUCAAGUCACUUCCUUGAGAGUUGUAGCCUAAAGCUACUAGUUUUUAUUGUCCGUACUAGUUGGUUGAAAUCAGAAAUCAAAGCUUCCUCUUUGCCAAGAGUGUUGAGGAGACCCACAAAAACCAUGAAGUUGUGGAGGGAGCCACUGCGUUUGGAAGGUAGGAUUGAUCGGUACAGAGAGGAGCAGAGUGCUCAAAUGAACAUCAUGAAACGCGACCAGGAGCGGUAUCAGGAGGAAAUGAAGAAUCUCCUGGCCAGCUAUAAAGAGCCCAGAAAUUCGCCCAUACACUCAUUCGAAGAGCAGGAGGGAGACAUGCCCUUGUUCGAGGGAAAGGAUCUAGAUGGGUGGAUUCUUAGAGGGGAGGAAUAUUUCGAUUUUUACAAGUUGACUGAAAGUGAGAAGAUGGACGCGGUGGUGGUAUCUCUGGAAGGGGACGCCUUGCGGUGGUACACGUUCGAAUCACGCCGCCACCCAACGCGUACCUGAGCGGAGCUAAAGGUGAAGGUGCUGGUGAUGUUCCGGCCGACGAAUGUUGGGACUCUCCACGAGCAAUGGCUCGCCACCUCCCAAACCACCACGGUGGAGGAGUACCAGAAGGCGUUCAUGGAGUUUGCGUCGCCAUUGAAUGAUAUCCCAGAGAGUAUUAUGAUGGGUCAGUUUAUGAAUGGGCUGAAGGAUAAGAUUAAGUCUGAGAUUCGGGUUCUAAACCCGUAUACGUUGGAGGACGCUAUGGACUUAGUAAUUAGGGUUGAGGAAAGGAAUCGGGUUCAAGGCCUGAAAAGAAAUGGGGUUGGCCCAACUAAAAAUGGGACCUUCUCCUAUUUUAGCAAGAGCUAAAUAGCCACAACUUAAGGUAGUGGGCCUCAAUCUCAACCUUUGGGUUCUAAGUCUAACCAAUCAGUGAGGAACAUUACCGGCAAAACAAACACAGCCAACGCAAACUCUUUCAAUGGGUCAAAUACUUUUAGCCCUCACCGGUCAACGACGACCACCACCGCCUCGCGUUUCGGGGGCGACACAAGGAGGCCGACGGAGCGUGAGCUGCAAGAUAAGAGGGCCAAGGGGCUUUGUUUCAGGUGCGAUGAAAGGUGGGGAGUUGGCCACCAAUGUAAGAGGAAAGAAGUUAGUGUGUUGCUCGUCGACGAGGACGAUGAUCAGGGUGAGGAGGAGGACCGUGAGUUUUAGGCGAUUGAGAAUUCCGAGGAGUUGGAGACGCCGGCGACGGUGUGUAUUAAUUCUAUUGUUGGGAUUACUAAUCCGAAAACCAUGAAACUGCUUGGAAGGAUAGGAGACGGGGAGGUAGUGUUGAUGGUGGACCCGGGGGCCACGCAUAAUUUCAUCUCCCUUAAGGCGGUGGAGCAGUUGGGGAUUCCGUUUACGAAGUCGGGGGGAUUUGGUGUUUCAUUGGGGAACGGAGAGGCGAUCCGCGGUACUGGAAUAUGUAAGGCAGUGGAGUUAAGGCUCAAUGACGAAGCAGUGGUAAUAGAUGACUUCCUACUCUUAGAGUUAGGCAACUCAGAUGUCAUACUUGGAAUUCAAUGGCUGGAAAAAUUGGGGUAGAAGGCGCCACACGAACUAUCCGCGGAGACCCGUCCCUAGCUCGGUCGAAGAUCACUCUCAAGGCUAUGAUGAAGGUCUUGAGGAAAGAAGGAGGAGGGAUUCUGGUUGAGUUCAAUCGGCUGGAAGGGAAGGAAGUGAAUGCUCUUGACCAACCUCCAUUUCUGAAGGCUGUUCUGGAGGAAUACAGUGGGAUUUUUGAGGCACCAAGAGGACUCCUACCGAAUAGGGGCAAUGAGCAUGCCAUUGUGAUGAAGGAAGGGAGCAACCCGGUGAAUGUACGACCCUACAGAAAUCCUCAAAUUCAGAAAGAUAGAGAUAGAGAGGUUGAUCAGUGAGAUGCUGGAUGCCGACAUCAUUCGGCCCUCCACUAGUCCCUACUCGAGCCCAGUGUUGUUGGUGAAGAAAAGGGAUGGUUCUUGGAGAUUUUGUGUUGAUUAUCGUGCCCUCAACAAGGAGACCGUGCCGGAUAAAUAUCCUAUACCGGUAAUUGAUGAGUUGCUAAGUGAGUUACAUGGAGCCAAAGUCUUCUCCAAGUUAGACUUGAAGGCCGGGUACCAUCAAAUACUUGUGUGCCCCAAGGAUACUCUCAAGACGGCAUUCCGAACCCACGAGGGCCACUAUGAGUUUCUGGUGAUGCCGUUUGGCCUCACCAAUGCACCGACAACAUUCCAAUCACUCAUGAAUGAGGUAUUCCGAUCCUAUUUAAGAAAAUUUGUUGUUUUUUUUACGAUAUACUUGUGUACAGUUCUUGUGUGGAGGAUCAUGUCGGUCAUAUGAGAACAGUCCUGGAAACGCCGGAGAGAAGGCAAUUGUUUGCGAAUUUUAAAAAGUGUGAAUUUGGCAAGAGCGAGGUGGCAUACCUUGGCCACAUGAUUUUUUGGCCGUGGAGUUGCGGUAGACCAGGAGAAGAUCCAAGCCAUGGAGGGAUGGCAGACUCCACGCAAUUUGAGAGAAUUAAGGGGAUUCUUGGGCUUAACGGGCUAUUACCGUAAAUUUAUAGCCGGCUAUGCUCAAAUAGCCCAAUCUCUUACGGAUCAGUUGCGUAAGGAUGCCUUUGGGUGGUGUGAAGCUGCCACCAGAGCAUUCGAAGAAUUGAAGGGCACAAUGAUUGUUGCCUCGGUGCUUGCCAUGCCGAAUUUUCAUAAAGACUUUGUGAUUGAGACGGAUGCGCCCGGGUAUGGGCUUGGAGCUGUAAUGAUGCAAGACGGCAGGCCCAUUGCAUUACUUAGUCGGGUACUUGGGCCACGAGCGAGAGCUAAAUCCAUAUAUGAAAAGGAGUUGAUGGCGGUUUGUUUAGCGGUCCAAAAGUGGAAACAUUACUUGUUGGGCCGCCACUUUGUGAUCCGCACCGAUCAACAAAGUCUGCGGCACAUAACCCAGUAGCGUGAAAUAGGAACAGAUUAUCAACGUUGGGUGAGGAAACUUAUCGGGUUCGACUUCGAGAUUCAAUAUAAGCGGGGGCAUCUAAUCGGGUGGUGGAUGCACCCUCACGAAAGGAGGGAGGGGAGUUAGAAUUUGGAAGUUGGGAAUUAGGGGCACUGAUAUCGUCCCAGGGCAUUAACCGGAAGGGGCUGGAAGAGGAAGUUGAGAAGGAUGAAGCAUUGCGUAAAGUUAAAACAGAAUUACAAGCAGGGAGAUUUCUGGGUUUCACAUGGAGGGGGACAGAUUGUUGUAUAAGGGGCGAAUGGUGAUUGCCAAAGGUUCGUCCUUUAUUCCGGUACUACUGUGAGUAUCAUGAUUCGUCUGAGGUCAAGACCUAUUUUGGGCUGGCGUCGGAAUAGUUUUGGCAGGGCAUGCGCAAGAGGGUCACACACCACGUGCAGAAUUGCAGCGUUUGCCAAAGAAACAAACACUCUCAACAAAGCCUGGCACGGCUGCUGCAACCCUUGCCCAUACCAGCCGCGGUUUGGGAGGAGGUGACCAUGGUUUGGGAGGAGGUGACCAUGGAUUUUGUUGAGGGCUUACCCUUGUCUCGGGGAGACACUAUCCUCGUUGUGGUGGACCGCUUGUCCAAAUACGCGCACUUUAUUGGGUUGAAGCACCCCUUCACCGUGUACACUGUGGCUGGCAGCUUUAUCAAGGAGGUGGUCCGACUCCACGGUUCCCUUCAUCAAUUAUCUCAGACCGCGAUUGUGUGUUUUUAAGUGUCUUUUGGAAGGAAUUGUUCAAGCUUCACGGCACAGACUUGAAGCGUAGCACCUCCUAUCAUCCACAAACGGAUGGACAGUCCGAGAAUGUUAACACUUAACAGAACCACCAAGAUUGUGGCGUUUGGGCAAUAACAAUACCACUGUUGGGAGCAUAGAAGAGAUGUUACAGGAGAGAGAUUACAUGUUAGAUGAGCUGAAACUGAAUUUAUUCAAGGCACAACAAGCGAUGAAGCAACAUGCAGAUAAGAGACGAAGAGAGGAACAAUUUGUAGUUGGGGAUAUGGUGUUUUUGAAACUGCAACCGUACAGACAGAAAACCUUGGCCAAGAGACCCUUUGAGAAGCUAUCUGCUCGCUUCUAUGGGCCUUUUGAGGUGUUGCAGAGGAUUGGGCAAGUAGCAUACAAGCUGAAGCUACCCACUACUUGCAAGGUGCACCCUGUCUUUCAUGUGUCCCAACUUCGUAGGGCAGUGGGCACACAGGAGGUCUCUCCUUCGAUCCCUGAACAAUUGACGAGUGAGCUGGAACUCGUGGUAGAGCCAGAGAAGUUGCUGGAGGUACGUAGCACAGCAAGAGGUCAGGAGAGGAUGCUGGAAGUCUUGAUCAAAUGGAAGCACUUGCCACCUUUUGAGGCAACCUGGGAAGAAGCUGCUGAAAUCCAUGAGCGUUUUCCGGACUUCCACUCUUGAGGACAAGGUGAGUCUUUGGGGUUGCGGUGAUGUAAUGAACCAACCUGAUGUGGGCCGUUUUCAAUUGGUUUACAGCAGGAGACAAAAAGGGACACACAAAGCAACACAAGUCAGAAACUAGGCAAGGCAUCAAGGGGGCGUUUCCACUACUGCUAGCAGAAAAGGACAGCAACAGCUCAUUAAAUCAAGUUUACUAUGCGAUAGGCUUUAGUGCAUAAAUAGUAGAAGCAAGAGAGAGAAAGCUAUUGUGUUUUGUAUUAACUAAAUAGAUUUGUGGCCUCAAGUCACUUCCUUGAGAGUUGUAGCCUAGAGCUACUAGUUUGUAUUGUCCGUACCAGUUGGUUGAAAUCAGAAAUCAAAGCUUCCUCUUUUGGUCCAAUUGUGGUGUUGUUUCUUAUAAUUUCAGGUUGAAGAUAACAAGUUCUUUGCAGUGUUCCACGCAGGAAUGUGAAAGUUUGUGUAGUUCCUGUGUCAUUGGACUAAAAUGUUAGAUGUGAGGGUAUGAACAAGCAAAUAUAAGAAUGGAGUUGGCUAUUCAACGUGAGGACAUGUAUUAUCUCCAAAUUCUAUCUUAUGAAACUGGUUUUGUAGUAACACAUCAAAUUCAACUAAGACUUUAAAUAAAUUAUUGUAAAAUUCUUAUUAGUAGUUUGUGUCCUUUACCUGCAUUUUUGCAAUUCAGUUGAAUACUCAGAGCGCAAUUGUGUGUGGAACUCCUUUAUCUAGCUUACAAGUACAAUAUCUCAAAGAAAUUUUCUUUAAUCUCCAUGAAUUUGUGCUAAUUGGAGUUUCUGCUUGUCCCCUUUCCUUAUAGGAUUCCAGAGUAAUGUUAUGUGCCCAAUCUUGUGUUGCUUUCGUUGAUGAAUGUUUGCUCUUAUCCACUGAUUCUGGUUUUUCUUUGUUUGUUUAUCUGUACAAAACGUGUAUGUCAUGCUUAUAAUUGAUGUAUUGAUGCAUUGUACUUCCUUGUGUUACUCUAAAUCAGAAUGUAGUGUUAUUGUAGAUUUGUAGAUGAGGAGUUGUAGUUAUGGAUUGACAUGAAAACCAAUUAAAUGCUUAUAGAAUAUAGAUGUACUCUUAAGCUUGAUUUACAAAUCAUCUGCUCUUUGACACGGAACAUAGUUUUGUACUGAUACACAGCAUAUACUCAUGAACCUGACGAGAUUGAUCCUUUGCCACCUUGGAUUGUUGAUCUAGAAUAGUAGACUUGUGCAUAGCAUUGAUUGUUAGAUUUGUCACACUUGCACAUCCAAAUAUUGAUGAAUUAAUGCUUCUACCAUAUUCCCUAUGUAUGUGAGUCCACUUUAUACAGCCAAAGCCAGUGAAUGAGUUCAACGGUUGAUUGUCCCUCCUGUGUACCUCAGGAGUGUAGGCAUGGUUGUUGGCCAGCAAAUGUAUUCUUGUGCAGGAUGGUAAUAGUCAAAGUUUCUACCCAUUAGUAACGGUUACCAUGUGCUCUUCCUAGCUAAAUUGUACUCAGAAAGUCACCGAGUUACCGUGCAUUCUUUAUAUAUACUUCCCUUAUACCUGCUUUUCUUUUAGAAAAAAUUGAUAGUUGUCUGCCAGUCUGAAGUUGCUGCUAGUAUCAGGACAAAGGCCUGUCGAUCUCUUUAAGUGUUAUGAUUUUUAUCAAUCAUGAAUGCGUGGCUUUUGAAGUAAACUUAGCAAGACUUGUCAGAUGCGUAUACCAAGGUCUCCGAUUCAUGUAUUUCAGGUUUUCUUAUGGGAGUGUCCAAAUUUCUGUUCUAUUUCUGUGGACAAGGAUCAUACUCGGGAUAAGAAAUAUGAGGGACUAUUGUGUGAAUGAAGAGUAUGAGGAUCACAUGCUGGCUCAUCGGAUGAAAAUUAGUACUCGGUGAGUCGACAUAUCCCUAUGUGGUCAUUACUUUUCAAUUGUCAUGAACGCUGGUUUUCUGAUCACUUCUGCCGUGGAGGACUCAGAAUUAAUUGUCGAAUUCUUUGUUAAGGAUCAAGAUUGGGAUCCUGAGACAGUGAGACGAUUCUUACAAUCUUGUUACAUUUGCAGCAUGAAAUGUAAGUGGCAUGUUCGGAUUUUCCUUGUUAAUUUAUGUAGUUUUCCACUUUUCAGUCAAAAGAUUUAAGAUCGGGAUCCUGUAUGUCUUUUUUCAUGUUACUGCUGAGGUGUUGGUGAAGAUUGAAAUUUGAGACAUGAAAGAAAAUUGAAGUGGGUAUCAACAAGUGAAAUGUUUUACUUUCUUUCUAUUUCUCUAUGUAUGCAGUGCGCAGAAGGUUUAGAAGUCGUAUCCCAUGCUCAAGAGUUUUCCCAUUGUCAGAAUCGUCAACUCUAGAUUAGAGACUUGAAGCUUGUGAUGAGUUGCCUGAUUUUAAUCACCACGUAUUUAUCUAUCGAUGCCUGUACUCAGAGGGCACAGACUUACUGAAAGGUCUUAGCCAGAGGAUGAGUACACAAUUGGUUUUGUGGAGAAUCUGUCUGAUGCAUUUGGUAGUCCCUGAGCUCUAGUUUGUUACCAGUUUACUUAAUUUACUACAUUAUCUGAGAAGCUGAAUGUAUAGCUUUAUCGUGUACCAACUAGUUUUGCCAGAUAUGGUAUUGGUGGUGUUACUGUUAGGUGUUAACUUUGUCAUUGAGCUAAUCAAAUUAUGGACUGAUUCCACCA